This 198-nucleotide ribosomal RNA is filed under the name uncultured bacterium. Its description in RNAcentral is "partial 16S ribosomal RNA". It matches the Rfam family "Bacterial small subunit ribosomal RNA", at positions 1303 to 1500 of the family's 1533-position model. The record is from RNAcentral.
GGCUGCAACUCGCCUAUAUGAAGUUGGAAUCGCUAGUAAUCGCGAAUCAGAAUGUCGCGGUGAAUACGUUCCCGGGUCUUGUACACACCGCCCGUCACACCACGAGAGUUUACAACACCCGAAGUCAGUGGCCUAACCGCAAGGAGGGAGCUGCCUAAGGUGGGGUAGAUGAUUGGGGUGAAGUCGUAACAAGGUACC